RNAcentral lists this small nucleolar RNA (139 nucleotides) under Phialocephala subalpina. RNAcentral describes it as "Small nucleolar RNA snR32". It matches the Rfam family "Small nucleolar RNA snR32". Lineage: Eukaryota; Fungi; Ascomycota; Leotiomycetes; Helotiales; Mollisiaceae. The record is from Rfam by way of RNAcentral.
AGCUUCUUGUUGUUUUCGCCAUCAACGAUGCUGUUUUCGCGCUGUGCGCACAAGGAUUUCUUACCCGUUGCUGGGCGCCUGGCUUUGAGAGGUCGUUUCGACUUCAUUGAGAACUUGGGAAUCAGCUGAGGUUACAUAC